Molecule: ribosomal RNA, 253 nt
Filed under: uncultured bacterium
Lineage: Bacteria
Description: partial 16S ribosomal RNA
Rfam family: Bacterial small subunit ribosomal RNA
Source: RNAcentral
UACGAAGGGGGCUAGCGUUGUUCGGAAUUACUGGGCGUAAAGGGCGCGUAGGCGGUCCUUCAAGUCAGGCGUGAAAGCCCCGGGCUCAACCUGGGAACCGCGCUUGAGACUGGCGGGCUAGAGUUCGGGAGAGGAUGGUGGAAUUCCCAGUGUAGAGGUGAAAUUCGUAGAUAUUGGGAAGAACACCGAUGGCGAAGGCAGCCAUCUGGACCGACGCUGACGCUGAGGCGCGAAAGCGUGGGGAGCAAACAGG